This 761-nucleotide ribosomal RNA is filed under the name uncultured Prevotella sp. Its description in RNAcentral is "bacterial SSU rRNA". It matches the Rfam family "Bacterial small subunit ribosomal RNA", at positions 28 to 776 of the family's 1533-position model. Lineage: Bacteria; Pseudomonadati; Bacteroidota; Bacteroidia; Bacteroidales; Prevotellaceae. The record is from RNAcentral.
GAUGAACGCUAGCUAUAGGCUUAACACAUGCAAGUCGAGGGGAAACGGCAAAGAGUGCUUGCACACUUUGGACGUCGACCGGCGCACGGGUGAGUAACGCGUAUCCAACCUGCCCUUUACUUGGGGAUAACCCGUUGAAAGACGGACUAAUACCCAAUGAUAUUCAUUGAUGACAUCUGAUUUGAAUUAAAGAUUUAUCGGUAUAGGAUGGGGAUGCGUCUGAUUAGCUUGUUGGUGAGGUAACGGCUCACCAAGGCAACGAUCAGUAGGGGUUCUGAGAGGAAGGUCCCCCACAUUGGAACUGAGACACGGUCCAAACUCCUACGGGAGGCAGCAGUGAGGAAUAUUGGUCAAUGGACGAGAGUCUGAACCAGCCAAGUAGCGUGCAGGAUGACGGCCCUAUGGGUUGUAAACUGCUUUUGUUUGGGAAUAAUCGACAUUACGUGUAAUGUUUUGCAUGUACCAUUCGAAUAAGGACCGGCUAAUUCCGUGCCAGCAGCCGCGGUAAUACGGAAGGUCCAGGCGUUAUCCGGAUUUAUUGGGUUUAAAGGGAGUGUAGGCGGUUGGUUAAGCGUGUUGUGAAAUGUAGAUGCUCAACAUCUGACUUGCAGCGCGAACUGGCUGACUUGAGUACACACAACAUAGGCGGAAUUCAUGGUGUAGCGGUGAAAUGCUUAGAUAUCAUGAAGAACUCCGAUUGCGAAGGCAGCUUACGGGAGUGUUACUGACGCUUAAGCUCGAAGGUGCGGGUAUCGAACAGG